Molecule: ribosomal RNA, 1068 nt
Filed under: Salmonella enterica subsp. enterica serovar Enteritidis
Lineage: Bacteria; Pseudomonadati; Pseudomonadota; Gammaproteobacteria; Enterobacterales; Enterobacteriaceae
Description: partial 23S ribosomal RNA
Rfam family: Bacterial large subunit ribosomal RNA
Source: RNAcentral
UCGUCACACUAUCAUUAACUGAAUCCAUAGGUUAAUGAGGCGAACCGGGGGAACUGAAACAUCUAAGUACCCCGAGGAAAAGAAAUCAACCGAGAUUCCCCCAGUAGCGGCGAGCGAACGGGGAGGAGCCCAGAGCCUGAAUCAGCAUGUGUGUUAGUGGAAGCGUCUGGAAAGGCGCGCGAUACAGGGUGACAGCCCCGUACACAAAAGCGCAUGUGCUGUGAGCUCGAUGAGUAGGGCGGGACACGUGGUAUCCUGUCUGAAUAUGGGGGGACCAUCCUCCAAGGCUAAAUACUCCUGACUGACCGAUAGUGAACCAGUACCGUGAGGGAAAGGCGAAAAGAACCCCGGCGAGGGGAGUGAAAAAGAACCUGAAACCGUGUACGUACAAGCAGUGGGAGCACCCUUUGGGUGUGACUGCGUACCUUUUGUAUAAUGGGUCAGCGACUUAUAUUCUGUAGCAAGGUUAACCGAAUAGGGGAGCCGGAGGGAAACCGAGUCUUAAUUGGGCGUUAAGUUGCAGGGUAUAGACCCGAAACCCGGUGAUCUAGCCAUGGGCAGGUUGAAGGUUGGGUAACACUAACUGGAGGACCGAACCGACUAAUGUUGAAAAAUUAGCGGAUGACCUGUGGCUGGGGGUGAAAGGCCAAUCAAACCGGGAGAUAGCUGGUUCUCCCCGAAAGCUAUUUAGGUAGCGCCUCGUGAAUUCAUCUCCGGGGGUAGAGCACUGUUUCGGCUAGGGGGCCAUCCCGGCUUACCAACCCGAUGCAAACUGCGAAUACCGGAGAAUGUUAUCACGGGAGACACACGGCGGGUGCUAACGUCCGUCGUGAAGAGGGAAACAACCCAGACCGCCAGCUAAGGUCCCAAAGUCAUGGUUAAGUGGGAAACGAUGUGGGAAGGCCCAGACAGCCAGGAUGUUGGCUUAGAAGCAGCCAUCAUUUAAAGAAAGCGUAAUAGCUCACUGGUCGAGUCGGCCUGCGCGGAAGAUGUAACGGGGCUAAACCAUGCACCGAAGCUGCGGCAGCGACACUGUGUGUUGUUGGGUAGGGGAGCGUUCUGUAAGCC